UUUAUUUAUCUUAUCUACUAGGAUUACGCUAGAAUAGUGAAGAUAAAGCCAAAAGAAAUCCCAACCCUUUUCCCCCCCUCUCUCUUGGCCUUAAACACUCAAGAAAUACAUCUUCAAUUUUCAUCAAGUUUUCAAAAUUUGUUGAAGAUAGGAGCUGAAUCUUAGUUAAUCUUGGAGGGGAGUGAUCUUUUGGUGGUCUGAGCUUGUAUUUAAGAGGGCCUCCAACUGCCGAGCAGAGUUCCACUCAGGUUGACCGACACACUUGAGUCAAGAAUUGAGCCUCUCUCUCAGCCGAACCACGUAAAAACCCAACCCUCAGCCGACGCGACUAUUCUCAACCCACGCUCAACCGAUGCCCGUCCACGGUGAACCCAGGACCGUCGACGCUCAACCCCGACCGUCAACUCUCAACCGGCAACCACUCUGAGGCGACCCGAAGCGAAAAUGCCCAAGGGAACUCCACAUCUAAUAAUUCCAGUGUCGGACCAUUACACAUGCCGUGUCACAUGGCGCGGCGGUAGUUAUUACUACACGAAGAUUAAGGCUAAAUUUCAAGAAUUCAACCUAUGGGAUAAGGUGAGUGAAUCCCCUUUCAAACAGUUUUUCGAGAGAGAGCCCAUUCAAUUUUUAGGAGCAUUUUUUCAUCAGUUGAUGCUUCACAAAAUCAAAUCUGACAAGCCGGACGAGGUGCAUUUUUAUGUGGGAAGGAAGAGAUGUAGAUUUGGCAGGGUGGAGUUCGGCUUGGUGAUCGGGUUAAACUUGUUGCCCGGCCCUACUGAGGAAGACAUCAAAGAGAAAGGAAGUUCUGACCGGUUGAUUAUGGAAUAUUUCAACCGUAAUCCUUCGAUCACCAACUGCGCAAAGUUUUUUAGAGCUGCACAGAAGUUGAUGAUGUCUACAAGUUGGGGAUGGCCUUGUUUGUUAUGGGCGUCCUCACUGGUAAGGAGGAGAAGACUGUCGUUCCUCCUUUUGUCAAAAGAAUGGUUGAUAACCUUCCAUUCUUCUACGAGUACCCCUGGGGAAAGAUUUCUUACACCAAGCUGAUAAAAACUUGUAAUAAUGACUACUUGGAUGUGAAAAAUAAGAUGUUGAAAAAGAUUAAAAAGGGAGUUACUCAGAAGGAGGCAAAAUACUCAUCCUACGGCUAUACUGCAGCGUUACAGUAUUGGGCAUACGAGGCCAUCUUAUAGCUGGGCAACGAGUAUGCAGUGAGGAAGUCGCAUCGUUUUCCAAGAAUGGUGAACUGGGAGAGUAAGCCGAACACUACACUCGAGAAGGAUGAAGUGAUCAGAUUAUUUGCUAAAAAUUUGACAGUGUACUCCAUGUUAUGUCCCCGACCGAAUGAGGUUGAGUUUGUCAGUUACAUCACUGGGGGUCAGCCGCCGUUAUUUGUUGACUUGGAGGAACUUGUGUUGGGUGAGGAUGGGCAACCAACAUAGGAUGCUUUGCGAAGCUAGGCCGAAAAGCUUGCCUCCACAUUGGAAGAACGAGCGGACGCAGCCCAAAUAUUUAAAGACUCUACACCACCUCCACCGUCUCCACCACGUGCACCGUCUGCAGUUCGAGAUGGGUCUGGUGUUGACCCAUAUGCUGCUUCAGUUCCAGAUGAGUGUGGUGUUGACCCAUCUGCAACAUCACAGGAUCCUCCUGUUCCCCCGUCAGUUUCUAUUCCCAGCACCUCAGAGGCUCGCGAUCCAGUAUACCCUGCCAUUUUGGCAAGGUUGGAGACUGUGGAGAGGGGACAGAUUGCUUUGAGGGAAGGGCAGAUCGCUCUGCUAAGAGAACAAACAACGAUUAUGGAUCAGUUGAAGACCAUAAUGAGGCUCCUGCAAAAUCCUGGAAGGCCGGCAGCAGAUUCACAGUCACAGCCACAGCCACAACCAGAAGAAGAGGCUCAGUCACCAGAAAAUGACUUCAUUCUCCCAAAUGAUUAGAAACCGGAUGAUGAUGACAUGUUCUGUACACCUGAGAAGACGAAUAUCACCAGCAUCGCGGAUACUCAAGAUUUUGAGGUACAGGUAUUAGAGACAGCUCCAGAACUCGUGGAGAAUCGGAGGAAGAGAAAGCGACCUAGGUGGUUCGAUGAGUACACUGAAAUGAAAAAGAAGUCUAGGGCUACUUUGACACUCGUGAAUGCGGACCCACUUAGAGUGGUUGAUCGGAAGCUGCUUAGGACUUUUCACAGUUAAUUACUCGGCCAGAUUGGGAACAAGUACCCGAGAGAGUGCUUCACCGGUAGACACGAUUCGGCUUGGUUCCUUAAACUACAUACUCCGAGGAGGACAUGGCUUGGGGACGAUAAUUUGGAUGCGACAUUUCAUUUGAUGAGGAGGCGACAACACUUUUAUCCGGAGCUCUACACAAAUAGAUGUGUCAUCAUGCCGUGUAUUUUCUCAGCAGGAGUUAUUGCUCGGUGGGAAGCUGCGGGUGAUGACCAGGCUAAAUAUCAGUGGGAUGAGGGUAUAUUAUAUUUGAUUUGAGGGGAUGAAGGUCAAUACUUGGCCAGUUGGAAGAAUAAGGAGAGAAUAUAUAUGGCCCUCUACUUCGAUAGUGCAAGGCAUUGGGUGACACUAGAGGUAAAUCUGGAUCAUUGGUUGUUGAACAUAUUUAACUCGAGCCUCGGAUCGAUUUCCCCGAAUGAAUUCAAGAGUCACUUGGCAAUGUGGGAAAAAUUACUACCAACUUUGAUGCUGCAGGCUGGCCUAUUCGAGACUCAUGACAUGAUCCUCGUGCCUCAACUUACCGCCUCAGAGAGCCAGGUUAGAAGUUUCACUUCAAAAGUCACGGACCGGGGCGUUGUUCGACGGACAAAGUCAAGGUAACUUAAUUACAAUUGAUUUUUUUGUUAUUUAACUUGAAUUUAAUUUGCAUACUUUUAUUUAUUUACUUUUUAUUGUCUCAUACAACGGUGACUGGGAGAUGUAUGUGAUAGAGCACAUCGAGCAUAGUAUGCUAGAGACUACAUUUGAUAAUGUGCACGAUGACAAUAUGAAGAAAUUUAGAGAGCGGUAGUGUGUAGAUUUGUUUUACCAGAAUUUAGCAUGAACAAAUGUAUUUUUUUUUAUUUGGUAUUUAUUAAGAUAACAAUGUAACUAGUUUUUUUCUUGGUA
Molecule: long non-coding RNA, 3110 nt
Organism: Cannabis sativa
Lineage: Eukaryota; Viridiplantae; Streptophyta; Magnoliopsida; Rosales; Cannabaceae
Exons: 6
Source: RefSeq, a predicted model, not a curated record